Molecule: ribosomal RNA, 499 nt
Filed under: Cissuvora ampelopsis
Lineage: Eukaryota; Metazoa; Arthropoda; Insecta; Lepidoptera; Sesiidae
Description: partial large subunit ribosomal RNA
Source: RNAcentral
CCGAAACUGAAUCAUCGCAGACAAGAGACGCGCACAGUCCGAGACUACACGGCUGCUAACUGAACAGACGCGUCGCAACGAAACGCCGCACCGUUAAGGCGGAAACGUGACGUAAUACGACGAACGUCUUGCGUCGGGCCGGACGCGUACGAGACGCGUGCGCGAUUCUCACUAUAAAUCCAUAUAUACCGUCCGACGGCCGGACGGCGACCGCCUCCGGUCUGACGGAUUGACGCGUGAACGCCUAUCCGCCGGACUCCCGGUACGGCGCUUAGACCGACGUCGAACGGGUCGCGAUGCCUAUGUAUACUGAGAGAGAAGUGCACGACGUCCGACGGACGUGAACGCACGCGACCCGUGUCCGUCGCGGACGGACCCGCGAAGGCCCGCCACGAACGGGCGUCGAGGCACACGUGCGUACGCCGCGGAAUAUCGAUGAAUCUCUCCGUUCUUUCAUUCGAGUUCGCAGGUUUACCCGUGAACGGUUUCACGUACUCUU